This 756-nucleotide ribosomal RNA is filed under the name uncultured bacterium. RNAcentral describes it as "bacterial SSU rRNA". It matches the Rfam family "Archaeal small subunit ribosomal RNA", at positions 601 to 1356 of the family's 1478-position model. The record is from RNAcentral.
GGAAGAGGUAAAGAAGGUACUACAGGGUACGGAGUGAAAUCUUGUAAUCCCUGUGGGACCACCUGUGCCGAAGGCGUCUUACCAGAACGGGUUCGACGGUGAGGGACGAAAGCUGGGGGCACGAACCGGAUUAGAUACCCGGGUAGUCCCAGCCGUAAACGAUGCUCGCUAGGUGUCAGGCAUGGCGCGACCGUGUCUGGUGCCGCAGGGAAGCCGUGAAGCGAGCCACCUGGGAAGUACGGCCGCAAGGCUGAAACUUAAAGGAAUUGGCGGGGGAGCACAACAACGGGUGGAGCCUGCGGUUUAAUUGGACUCAACGCCGGACAACUCACCGGGGGCGACAGCAAUAUGUAGGCCAAGCUGAAGACUUUGCCUGAAUCGCUGAGAGGAGGUGCAUGGCCGUCGCCAGUUCGUACUGUGAAGCAUCCUGUUAAGUCAGGCAACGAGCGAGACCCGUGCCCACUGUUACCAGCAUGUCCUCUGGGACGAUGGGUACUCUGUGGGGACCGCCGGUGUUAAAUCGGAGGAAGGUGCGGGCCACGGUAGGUCAGUAUGCCCCGAAUCUCCCGGGCUACACGCGGGCUACAAUGGAUGGGACAAUGGGUCCCUACCCCGAAAGGGGUUGGCAAUCUCACAAACCCAUUCGUAGUUCGGAUCGAGGGCUGUACUCGCCCUCGUGAAGCUGGAAUCCGUAGUAAUCGCGUUUCAAUAUAGCGCGGUGAAUACGUCAUGCUCCUUGCACACACCGCCCGUCAA